CAGUCGCCACGGUAAUACGAAGGGUGCAAGCGUUACUCGGAAUUACUGGGCGUAAAGCGUGCGUAGGUGGUGGUUUAAGUCCGUUGUGAAAGCCCUGGGCUCAACCUGGGAAUUGCAGUGGAUACUGGGUCACUAGAGUGUGGUAGAGGAUAGUGGAAUUUCCGGCGUAGCAGUGAAAUGCGUAGAGAUCGGAAGGAACAUCUGUGGCGAAGGCGACUAUCUGGGCCAACACUGACACUGAGGCACGAAAGCGUGGGGAGCAAACAGGAUUAGAUACCCGAGUAGUCCCUGUCUCUUAUAC
Molecule: ribosomal RNA, 301 nt
Filed under: uncultured bacterium
Lineage: Bacteria
Description: partial 16S ribosomal RNA
Rfam family: Bacterial small subunit ribosomal RNA
Source: RNAcentral